This 450-nucleotide ribosomal RNA is filed under the name uncultured bacterium. RNAcentral's name for it is "partial 16S ribosomal RNA". It matches the Rfam family "Bacterial small subunit ribosomal RNA", at positions 354 to 796 of the family's 1533-position model. The record is from RNAcentral.
GUGGGGAAUUUUGGACAAUGGGCGAAAGCCUGAUCCAGCCAUGCCGCGUGCAGGAUGAAGGCCUUCGGGUUGUAAACUGCUUUUGUACGGAACGAAAAGACUCUGGUUAAUACCUGGGGUCCAUGACGGUACCGUAAGAAUAAGCACCGGCUAACUACGUGCCAGCAGCCGCGGUAAUACGUAGGGUGCAAGCGUUAAUCGGAAUUACUGGGCGUAAAGCGUGCGCAGGCGGUUAUAUAAGACAGAUGUGAAACCCCCGGGCUCAACCUGGGAACUGCAUUUGUGACUGUAUAGCGAGAGUACGGCAGAGGGGGAUGGAAUUCCGCGUGUAGCAGUGAAAUGCGUAGAUAUGCGGAGGAACACCGAUGGCGAAGGCAAUCCCCUGGGCCUGUACUGACGCUCAUGCACGAAAGCGUGGGGAGCAAACAGGAUUAGAUACCCUAGUAGUCC